GACGAACGCUGGCGGCGUGCUUAACACAUGCAAGUCGAACGGAAAGGCCCUGCUUUUGUGGGGUGCUCGAUUGGCGAACGGGUGAGUAACACGUGAGUAACCUGCCCUUGUCUUUGUGAUAACUUCAGGAAACUGGGGCUAAUACCGGAUAGGAGCUCCUGCUGCAUGGUGGGGGUUGGAAAGUUUCGGCGGUUGGGGAUGGUCUCGCAGCUUAUCAGCUUGUUGGUGGGGUAGUGGCUUACCAAGGCUUUGACGGAUAGCCGGCCUGAGAGGGUGACCGGCCACAUUGGGACUGAGAUACGGCGCAGACUCCUACGGGAGGCAACAGUGGGGAAUAUUGCACAAUGGGCGGAAGCCUGAUGCAGAAACGCCGCGUGCGGGAUGACGGCCUUCGGGUUGUAAACCGCUUUCGACUGUGACGAAGCGUGAGUGACGGUAAUGGGUAAAGAAGCACCGGCUAACUACGUG
This 468-nucleotide ribosomal RNA is filed under the name uncultured bacterium. RNAcentral describes it as "partial 16S ribosomal RNA". It matches the Rfam family "Bacterial small subunit ribosomal RNA", at positions 28 to 507 of the family's 1533-position model. The record is from RNAcentral.